RNAcentral lists this ribosomal RNA (78 nucleotides) under Acinetobacter haemolyticus. RNAcentral describes it as "partial 16S ribosomal RNA". It matches the Rfam family "Bacterial small subunit ribosomal RNA", at positions 1458 to 1533 of the family's 1533-position model. The record is from RNAcentral. Lineage: Bacteria; Pseudomonadati; Pseudomonadota; Gammaproteobacteria; Moraxellales; Moraxellaceae.
CACGGUGUGGCCGAUGACUGGGGUGAAGUCGUAACAAGGUAGCCGUAGGGGAACCUGCGGCUGGAUCACCUCCUUAAC